CUGAUGUUAGCGGCGGACGGGUGAGUAACACGUGGGUAACCUGCCUGUAAGACUGGGAUAACUCCGGGAAACCGGGGCUAAUACCGGAUGGUUGUUUGAACCGCAUGGUUCAAACAUAAAAGGUGGCUUCGGCUACCACUUACAGAUGGACCCGCGGCGCAUUAGCUAGUUGGUGAGGUAACGGCUCACCAAGGCAACGAUGCGUAGCCGACCUGAGAGGGUGAUCGGCCACACUGGGACUGAGACACGGCCCAGACUCCUACGGGAGGCAGCAGUAGGGAAUCUUCCGCAAUGGACGAAAGUCUGACGGAGCAACGCCGCGUGAGUGAUGAAGGUUUUCGGAUCGUAAAGCUCUGUUGUUAGGGAAGAACAAGUACCGUUCGAAUAGGGCGGUACCUUGACGGUACCUAACCAGAAAGCCACGGCUAACUACGUGCCAGCAGCCGCGGUAAUACGUAGGUGGCAAGCGUUGUCCGGAAUUAUUGGGCGUAAAGGGCUCGCAGGCGGUUUCUUAAGUCUGAUGUGAAAGCCCCCGGCUCAACCGGGGAGGGUCAUUGGAAACUGGGGAACUUGAGUGCAGAAGAGGAGAGUGGAAUUCCACGUGUAGCGGUGAAAUGCGUAGAGAUGUGGAGGAACACCAGUGGCGAAGGCGACUC
This 656-nucleotide ribosomal RNA is filed under the name Bacillus tequilensis. Its description in RNAcentral is "bacterial SSU rRNA". It matches the Rfam family "Bacterial small subunit ribosomal RNA", at positions 86 to 727 of the family's 1533-position model. Lineage: Bacteria; Bacillati; Bacillota; Bacilli; Caryophanales; Bacillaceae. The record is from RNAcentral.